UCUUCCUGUCGCCUAAUCUGGUUAUGGCACUGCGUUUGGGAGGCAGAACAAUCUCUGUUGCAAUUAGAGCAGGAAGAA
RNAcentral lists this transfer RNA (78 nucleotides) under Deltaproteobacteria bacterium. Its description in RNAcentral is "tRNA-Pro". The record is from RNAcentral. Lineage: Bacteria; Pseudomonadati; Myxococcota; Myxococcia.